Picea glauca (white spruce) is the source of this 121-nucleotide non-coding RNA. Lineage: Eukaryota; Viridiplantae; Streptophyta; Pinopsida; Pinales; Pinaceae. The record is from Rfam.
ACAUGCCUACAACAUAGCGUUAAUGCACUGGAUCCCAUUAUAACUUCGCAAUUAAGUGCGCUCAGGAUAGAGUAGUACUGGGAUGGGUGACCACCCGAGAAGUCCUACUAUUUUACAUGCC